Molecule: long non-coding RNA, 209 nt
Filed under: Carica papaya (papaya)
Lineage: Eukaryota; Viridiplantae; Streptophyta; Magnoliopsida; Brassicales; Caricaceae
Description: long non-coding RNA (CPAP_LNC002543)
Source: RNAcentral
AAGGAAGAGGGGCAUAUAGCAUAUUGUAUAUAUAUGUGUGAAAUUUUUGGGUACUUGUCAAGGGGGACUAUUUUUGGAAUGUAAAAAAAAUGAAAUGGAUGGUUUUAAAAGGGUCACCUUUUUACACGAGGAGUAUUUGCCGUUGUAUAUAUCCAUAUCAUCGUCCUAUGUACUUAACAAUAAGGUAACGUGGUAUCUCUGGUGGUUUC